RNAcentral lists this transfer RNA (77 nucleotides) under Streptomonospora alba. RNAcentral's name for it is "tRNA-Pro". It matches the Rfam family "tRNA". Rfam says of the family: Transfer RNA (tRNA) molecules are approximately 80 nucleotides in length. Their secondary structure includes four short double-helical elements and three loops (D, anti-codon, and T loops). The record is from RNAcentral. Lineage: Bacteria; Bacillati; Actinomycetota; Actinomycetes; Streptosporangiales; Nocardiopsidaceae. RNAcentral also lists the same sequence under 6 other names.
CGGGGUGUAGCGCAGCUUGGUAGCGCGCUUCGUUCGGGACGAAGAGGUCGUGGGUUCGAAUCCCGCCACCCCGACCA